UGUCGCCGCUCGCCCGCCGUCCUCUGCGACAGAUCUAGAAGGAAAACCUCGACUUCUGGAUUUGCAGUUCGAAGACUCGACUGAGUGUGAGGCGAAGGGUUUGGUCGCGGCGGAGUGAGUCCACCAAGUUAUCUUGGCUUGU
Long non-coding RNA from Ipomoea nil (Japanese morning glory), 142 nucleotides. RefSeq lists it as uncharacterized. NCBI's taxonomy places the organism in Eukaryota, Viridiplantae, Streptophyta, Magnoliopsida, Solanales, Convolvulaceae. The record is from RefSeq and is a predicted model, not a curated record. The transcript is spliced from 3 exons.